RNAcentral lists this ribosomal RNA (253 nucleotides) under uncultured bacterium. Its description in RNAcentral is "partial 16S ribosomal RNA". It matches the Rfam family "Bacterial small subunit ribosomal RNA", at positions 524 to 776 of the family's 1533-position model. The record is from RNAcentral.
UACGUAGGUGGCAAGCGUUGUCCGGAUUUACUGGGCGUAAAGAGCGCGCAGGCGGUCGAAUAAGUCGAAUGUGAAAGCCCCCGGCUCAACUGGGGAGGGUCAUUCGAUACUGUCCGACUCGAAGGCAGGAGAGGGUAGUGGAAUUCCCGGUGUAGUGGUGAAAUGCGUAGAUAUCGGGAGGAACACCAGUGGCGAAGGCGACUACCUGGCCUGUUCUUGACGCUGAGGCGCGAAAGCUAGGGGAGCAAACGGG